Solanum tuberosum (potato) is the source of this 256-nucleotide long non-coding RNA. RefSeq lists it as uncharacterized. Lineage: Eukaryota; Viridiplantae; Streptophyta; Magnoliopsida; Solanales; Solanaceae. The transcript is spliced from 2 exons. The record is from RefSeq and is a predicted model, not a curated record.
CUCCAUUUACCAAUCAACUUAAGAAAUACAUCCAAGAAGUUGGAACAAAUUUUGAAGAUUGAAGUUACAAGUCAAGAUACAAGUUUAGAAGAUGGAAAAGAUCAUUAUUAUUUUGCUAUGGAAGUUAUACAAAACAUGAUAUCAUGGUCUAGCUUGAGAUGUUGAUUAGCUAAGCUUUUUUGUUCAGAAAAUAUUGAAACUAACAUCAUGGGAUGUUAACCAAUUUUUAUAUUUAGAUCAGCCUUUUGUUUGGAGA